This 917-nucleotide ribosomal RNA is filed under the name Rhizoctonia sp. AG-G. Its description in RNAcentral is "partial large subunit ribosomal RNA". It matches the Rfam family "Eukaryotic large subunit ribosomal RNA", at positions 36 to 961 of the family's 3401-position model. Lineage: Eukaryota; Fungi; Basidiomycota; Agaricomycetes; Cantharellales; Ceratobasidiaceae. The record is from RNAcentral.
AAGCAUAUCAAUAAGCGGAGGAAAAGAAACUAACAAGGAUUCCCCUAGUAACGGCGAGUGAAGCGGGAAGAGCUCAAAUUUAAAAUCUGGCGGUGUAUUCCGUCCGAGUUGUAGUCUAGAGAAGCAUCAUCCGUGCUGGACCAUGUACAAGUCUCUUGGAACAGAGCGUCAUAGAGGGUGAGAAUCCCGUCCUUGACAUGGACUCCCAGUGCUUUGUGUUGUGCUCUCAACGAGUCGAGUUGUUUGGGAAUGCAGCUCAAAAUGGGUGGUAAAUUCCAUCUAAAGCUAAAUAUUGGCGAGAGACCGAUAGCGAACAAGUACCGUGAGGGAAAGAUGAAAAGCACUUUGGAGAGAGAGUUAAACAGUACGUGAAAUUGUUGAAAUGGAAACGCUUGAAGUCAGUCGCGUUCUCUGGGAUUCAGCCUUGCUUCUGCUUGGUGCACUUCCUAGUUUACGGGCCAACAUGGAUUUUGACCGGUGGAAAAGGAUUUGGGGAAUGUGGCACCUCCGGGUGUGUUAUAGCCCCUUGUCGCAUACAUCGGUUGGGAUCGAGGUUUCAGUGCACGCUUCGGUUGUGCUUUGAUGUUGGCGUAAUGGCUUUAAACGACCCGUCUUGAAACACGGACCAAGGAGUCUAACAUGUCUGCGAGUGUUUGGGUGAAAAACCCAUGCGCGUAAUGAAAGUGAUAGUUGGGAACCUCUUACGAGGGGCACCGACGCCCGGACCAGACCUUCUGUGACGGAUCCGAGGUAGAGCAUAUAUGUUGGGACCCGAAAGAUGGUGAACUAUGCCUGCAUAGGGUGAAGCCAGAGGAAACUCUGGUGGAGGCUCGUAGCGAUUCUGACGUGCAAAUCGAUCGUCAAAUGUGGGUAUAGGGGCGAAAGACUAAUCGAACCAUCUAGUAACUGGUUCCUGC